Molecule: unclassified non-coding RNA, 234 nt
Filed under: Hevea brasiliensis (rubber tree)
Lineage: Eukaryota; Viridiplantae; Streptophyta; Magnoliopsida; Malpighiales; Euphorbiaceae
Source: RNAcentral
AGCUAGAGUUUGAAGAGUCUAAAGUUGUGCAGAGAGACAUUAGUUUUGCGGACAUAACAAAGAAUAAAGAGCUGGCCUCAACGGUAAAGCUAUUCCUUUAAAUUCCAGUAAUAUAAAAUUUUCCUGGCUGAUUUUCAUUCUAAUAUUAAAGUUGCAGGUUAAAGAAAUGAAACCUGGCCUUGCUCUGGCAGGCAAUAGACCAAGUGCCUAUCUUCUCAAUGUACUACCAUCUAA